Molecule: ribosomal RNA, 497 nt
Filed under: uncultured bacterium
Lineage: Bacteria
Description: partial 16S ribosomal RNA
Rfam family: Bacterial small subunit ribosomal RNA
Source: RNAcentral
GAUGAACGCUGGCGGCGUGCCUAAUACAUGCAAGUCGAGCGAACAGACGAGGAGCUUGCUCCUCUGAUGUUAGCGGCGGACGGGUGAGUAACACGUGGAUAACCUACCUAUAAGACUGGGAUAACUUCGGGAAACCGGAGCUAAUACCGGAUAACAUGUUGAACCGCAUGGUUCAACAGUGAAAGACGGUUUUGCUGUCACUUAUAGAUGGAUCCGCGCCGCAUUAGCUAGUUGGUAAGGUAACGGCUUACCAAGGCAACGAGGCGUAGCCGACCUGAGAGGUGGGACGCCCACCCGGGACCAGAGCCCCGUCCCAGACCCCGGGGGGGGGAACCGGGGGGGAAUCUUCCGGAAGGGGGAAAAGCCGGACGAGACACCGCCGCGGGAGUGAAGAGGUUCUUCGGAUGGAAAAGUUUUGUUGUUGGGAAAGAAAAAAUGUUAAGGUAACUAGGCACGUCUUGACGGUACCAAAACAAAAAGCCCCGGCUAACUCCGUG